RNAcentral lists this ribosomal RNA (732 nucleotides) under uncultured organism. Its description in RNAcentral is "SSU rRNA". It matches the Rfam family "Bacterial small subunit ribosomal RNA", at positions 67 to 789 of the family's 1533-position model. The record is from RNAcentral.
GGGCAUCAGGAAGAAAGCUUGCUUUCUUUGCUGGCGACCCGCGCACGGGUGAGUAACACGUAUCCAACCUGCCCUUUACUCGGGGAUAGCCUUUCGAAAGAAAGAUUAAUACCCGAUAGCAUAAUGAUUCCGCAUGGUUUCAUUAUUAAAGGAUUCCGGUAAAGGAUGGGGAUGCGUUCCAUUAGGUUGUUGGUGAGGUAACGGCUCACCAAGCCUCCGAUGGAUAGGGGUUCUGAGAGGAAGGUCCCCCACAUUGGAACUGAGACACGGUCCAAACUCCUACGGGAGGCAGCAGUGAGGAAUAUUGGUCAAUGGGCGCUAGCCUGAACCAGCCAAGUAGCGUGAAGGAUGAAGGCUCUAUGGGUCGUAAACUUCUUUUAUAUACGAAUAAAGUGCAGUAUGUAUACUGUUUUGUAUGUAUUAUAUGAAUAAGGAUCGGCUAACUCCGUGCCAGCAGCCGCGGUAAUACGGAGGAUCCGAGCGUUAUCCGGAUUUAUUGGGUUUAAAGGGAGCGUAGGUGGACUGGUAAGUCAGUUGUGAAAGUUUGCGGCUCAACCGUAAAAUUGCAGUUGAUACUGUCAGUCUUGAGUACAGUAGAGGUGGGCGGAAUUCGUGGUGUAGCGGUGAAAUGCUUAGAUAUCACGAAGAACUCCGAUUGCGAAGGCAGCUCCCUGGACUGCAACUGACGCUGAGGCUCGAAAGCGUGGGGAGCAAACAGGAUUAGAUACCCUG